CCUACGGGUUGCUGCAGUGGGGAAUUUUGGACAAUGGGGGAAACCCUGAUCCAGCAAUGCCGCGUGUGUGAAGAAGGCCUUCGGGUUGUAAAGCACUUUUUCAAGACUUACGGUACCGGAAGAAUAAGCACCGGCUAACUACGUGCCAGCAGCCGCGGUAAUACGUAGGGUGCGAGCGUUAAUCGGAAUUACUGGGCGUAAAGCGUGCGCAGGCGGUUCGUUAAGGCAGAUGUGAAAUCCCCGGGCUUAACCUGGGAACUGCAUUUGUGACUGGCGAGCUAGAGUAUGGCAGAGGGGGGUAGAAUUCCACGUGUAGCAGUGAAAUGCGUAGAGAUGUGGAGGACUACCGAUGGCGAAGGCAGCCCCCUGGGCCAAACUGACGCUCAUGCACGAAAGCGUGGGGAGCAAACAGGAUUAGAUACCCCUGUAGUC
This 432-nucleotide ribosomal RNA is filed under the name uncultured bacterium. RNAcentral's name for it is "partial 16S ribosomal RNA". It matches the Rfam family "Bacterial small subunit ribosomal RNA", at positions 338 to 795 of the family's 1533-position model. The record is from RNAcentral.